AACAUAUUAAAAGAGACGAAACGAAACGACGUCGUUUCGUUUCAUUUAAAAUUUAAAAACAAACGUCUCAGGUAAAAAGAAUUAGAUUUCAACUUACAUGAAUUGAACCUGCGACCUUCUACAAAAUCUGAAUACCCUUCACCACUAAGCCAAUCUUUUGGCUUGUGUUAAGGGGUUCAACAUAUUAUAUCUAUACGUAAAACACAAAAUUACCCCUAUAUGAAUAGUGUAAUUUUUCGACGAAGAGUGUUCGGAUGAACACCCUUUCGCCCCCCUAAAUCCGCCCCUACCCUAUACUUUCAAAAAUUAUUUAAAUAUACCAUUUAUUAUACUGUGAGACAAAUAUACUCAUGUCGUUAUACUUUGGGUUCAAAUAUACCCCUCAUUUAAACGGAGUGAUACAUGGCAUCGUCCUAUUGGCCAAUUCUAAAUAUCUCCUAAUUAAUUAAAAAGACUCAUACCCAUAACCAUAUCAGUUACCCAUACCUGAAAAAUAAUUUUCUAAAAUAAUAUUUUUGUAAAAAUUAGAAAAAACUGAAAUUAUUUUUACUAAAAACUGAAAAAAACAAAAAUAUUUUUUUUCUAGUUAUUACAAAAAUAUUGCUUUUAAAAAAGACAGAAAAAUAUUUUUUUUGUAAAAACUAAAAAAUAUUUUGUUGAAUUUGUUUUUUCAGUUUUUACAAAAAAAAAUGCUUUAGAAAAUUGCUUAGCAAAAAAAAUGAUUUAGAAAAUGGAAAUGUCCAAAAAUGCCCUCGAACUAUCGAAAAUAGCUCAAUUAUACCCUUUGUUUGCUUUUGGUACCAAACCUAUACUCCCCCUCACUCUUUGGGACCAUAAAUGCCUCACAACUAACAGAUGGCCACAUGUAUAUCCUACGUGUAAUAAAAUACGUGACAACUCACUAACAUAUAAUUUACCCAUUAACCUAGAUGGUAACCCGCGACCCGAUUGUCUAAUUAAAGGGGCAAAACGAUUUUACGCCUCAUUUCUCACUUACCCUUCUAAAGGUAUCUUAGAGAGGCGAUUUCAAAUGAGGGUUUCAGAGGAAUAACAAGAUAAAUUGAAGAUUAUUUACCAUUAUCUGAAGCUAUUUAGGUAAGGAUUCAUCUUAGUUAAGCUUUUCAAUGAUUAUUAGUUGGUUUAGGUCAUGGAUUAUUUGUGACUAAGAUUUACGAUUUUGGGGUAAUCUCAAAUUUUUAUUUGAUGUACUGUUAUUUGGAUAAAAACACUACUGUUUUUUGUUUAAGGUGUCAUUUUCGAGCAUAGUGAUAAGUUAUGAUUUUGUGAAAUUUCUUAAGUGACAACAACUUUAGUCGUUGAAAGUGACAACAAUUUCUUAUUUUCAAGACUACAUGUGUCUCUUUCUUCUAUAGUUUAUGCAGUAAUUUAUUGUGUGGUCCUUUUAUCUUUUUAUUUGCCUUUAGAGUAGAUCUCCUGAAUAUUUAAGUUUCAACUAUAGAUAAUUUAUUGAUAUGAACCCUCUUUGUCUAUUUCUAUUUUUUUCCAGAGAUUCAAUAUGAACGAUUUGGUUGUUGAAGUAGGUACUGAUUGUGAAUCAGAAAGUAAUGAAAGUUCAGGUUAUCAAUCAGAUUCUAGUGAAUAUGACUUUGAGGAAUUAGAGUUAAUUAGGAUACAAAAGAAAAAAGAAGUCAAUGAUAAGCUUACUCACUACAAGGAGCUUGAUAACUCUAUGACAUUUAAGAACUUGGAAGAAGCUAAGAAAGUCAUAAACUUGUAUGCUAUUGCCAAUCAAAAAUCUCUGAAGGUGAAAAAAGUAAUAAAACAAGAUUUAUUUAUAGAUGUAUAUUAGGCUGUCCAUUUGUGUGUCUCAUAUCAGAAGAUAGGGGAGGUCCAGGAUUUAAGAUAAAAACAUUAAAGUUAAAGCAUACAUGUGGUGAAACAUUUGAUAACCCUAGAGCUACCACAAAAACUCUAACUCAUUAUUUCAAGAGUAAGGUGCAGAAUAACCCCAAGUACAAGAUAAAGGAUAUGAGACAAGAUUUAAAAGAUCAAUUUUUGUUGAAUGCUAAUAUGUCAAAGCUAAAAAGGGCCAAGAGGAUGGCCCUUCAAACAAUGCAAGGUAGCUUUUUAGAUGACUAUAAUAGACUAUAAGCAUAUGCAAAUGAGAUCAGGGAGAGCAAUCCUGGUAGUGAUGCAGUUAUCAAUUUAUCAAAUGAUGGGAUGACCGAAGGGUCAAUGCAAAGGACAACUAUUGGUGGCUAUGGCACAAGAUUGUAUGAAUCAUUUUUAUCCAUUGGCUUGGGCUAUAGUUGAUAGGGAAACUAGUAGGACAUGGACAUGGUUUCUGGAGCUGCUGCAACAUCUAUUGAAUCUGAAGAAUGGUGAAAGUAUUACUUUUAUGUCUGACAUGCAAAAGAUUUUUUGUUAGGCAUAUUGAAUCCAACAUGAGUAAGAUAGUGCAGUUAUGAGGAAGAGUUUAAGGACUAGUUAAAACAACUUGGCUCUUUGUGUGCUGAUGCUGCUAAGGAUUUGCUUAGGUAUCCACCACAAAACUAGUGUAGAGCAUAUUUUGAUACAGUAUGCAAAAAUAAGAUGGUGGACAAUAAUUUUACCGAAUCCUUCAAAUCUUGGAUCUUAGAAGCAAGAGGCAAGCCUAUCUUGAAGAUGCUUGAGAAUAUUAGAAUCAAGAUCAUGAACAUGUUGAGAGAGAAAGGAGAGGUUAGAACAUGGACUAUUGAGUUUAGUCCUUAUUGCAUGAAGUUGUUUACCACUUAUCUAAACAUAGCUAAUAAUUCAUGCACUGUGAAUUUCAAUGGUGACAUUGGGUAUGGAGUUUCCGAGGGUGAUGAUAAACAUUCAGUGAACCUGGUAAUGAAGAAAUGCACAUGUAAAACUUGCCAGUUAACUGGCAUCCCAUGUCCCCGUGCUAUCAAGGCAAUGUAAUACAAGAAAUUGGAUCUGAUCACUGAAAUUAAUUGGCGGAGCCACUCCGAACUAAGAGGAAUCUAAAGAGUGUUUUGGAGUCAAUAUGGCGUGUGGAAGGCCAAUCGAAGGUUAGCCCGGUCGAAAAGGAGCGAGAAGAACAAGCGAGGAGGUCCCCUCUAGGUGCGCGACAGCGGAGUUGACCGCGAAUUGGAGGCAGAACACUGGCUAAAAUUCGCGGCCGCGGAUAGGCGGACGGAAGCCAACAGCUGAGGGGCAAUUAUGUAAUUUCUAAGGAGACGAACCUAAGCCUAUAUAAAGCCUAAUUCGUCCAGAAGAGAGGGAAAGCUAUUUUUAGGAGAUUUUGGAGGAAAGAACAAGAGAGAGAAGACGGAAAAGUUCCUAAGAGUUUGCAUCUUCUUCUUCUUACUUUCAUUGUUGAUUAUGAAUUGUUAUAGUGAAUUUUUAUCCAUUUGUAUGAGUAGAUAAACCCAUCAUCUAGGGUUUAUGGAACCAAUUAUUGGAUGAAGUUUUGACUAUGUUUAGAUAUAAUUGAGUUGUUCUUAUUCUA
This is a long non-coding RNA of Nicotiana tabacum (common tobacco), 3454 nucleotides long. RefSeq lists it as uncharacterized. NCBI's taxonomy places the organism in Eukaryota, Viridiplantae, Streptophyta, Magnoliopsida, Solanales, Solanaceae. The record is from RefSeq and is a predicted model, not a curated record.